This 564-nucleotide ribosomal RNA is filed under the name Triticum aestivum (bread wheat). RNAcentral's name for it is "partial small subunit ribosomal RNA". The record is from RNAcentral. Lineage: Eukaryota; Viridiplantae; Streptophyta; Magnoliopsida; Poales; Poaceae.
AUGAGUCCAGGAAAAAUUAUCUGCUUGCUCAAUUUUUUCCCUAAUCCUCUCUUUCUUUUUCUUCUUUCUAAUUGUUUUUUUGUUAAAAGAGUAUUAGAGGGAGAGAGAAGAGAGCGAGCCCAGCCGACCUCUAAGGCCCAUCUUGCGGCCCAUCUUACCUACCUAACCCUAAACCUCUCCCUGGCCCGACCCCCAUCUCCUCACGAUCUCCCUCUCCCUCGAUUCCUUCCCAGCGCCGCCAGACCAAGCGCUGCCCGAUCCAAUCUGCUCGAUCCCAUAUCGCUCCUCUGCCCGAUCCCCUGGCAUCUCCCUUGCCUCCCUCCAGCGCCGUCUCUCACGCACGCUCCGCGCCAGGCAGCGCCCUGCUCGAUCCCCUCCACCCGAGCGCCACCUUCGCCCGACCCAACUCCCUCUCAUCGCACCCUCGCCGCCGCGCGUCCCUGCCCCGCCUCCUUCUCCCUCCAGCGCCGGCACGCCCGCAGCGGCCAUGGAUCCCACAGAACCGGGCCGCGACCACCAGACCUUCCCCUGCGCGACCCGUCCGGUCACCGCCCGCUCCGGUGA